RNAcentral lists this ribosomal RNA (428 nucleotides) under uncultured delta proteobacterium. RNAcentral's name for it is "partial 16S ribosomal RNA". It matches the Rfam family "Bacterial small subunit ribosomal RNA", at positions 355 to 774 of the family's 1533-position model. Lineage: Bacteria; Deltaproteobacteria. The record is from RNAcentral.
UGGGGAAUCUUGCGCAAUGGGCGAAAGCCUGACGCAGCGACGCCGCGUGGGUGAUGAAGGCCUUCGGGUCGUAAAGCCCUGUCAAGAGGGACGAAUCCUCGUCGACCUAACACGUCGGCGACCUGACGGUACCUCUGAAGGAAGCACCGGCUAACUCCGUGCCAGCAGCCGCGGUAAUACGGAGGGUGCGAGCGUUGUUCGGAAUUACUGGGCGUAAAGCGCGUGUAGGCGGCCUCCUCAGUCUGGUGUGAAAGCCCGGGGCUCACCCCCGGAAGUGCAUUGGAUACUGGGAGGCUGGAGUACCGGAGAGGAGGGUGGAAUUCCUGGUGUAGCGGUGAAAUGCGUAGAUAUCAGGAGGAACACCGGUGGCGAAGGCGGCCCUCUGGACGGAUACUGACGCUGAGACGCGAAAGCGUGGGGAGCAAACA